CCGCGCGAUAACGCGAUUCUCACCUGCGAAAAUCCUCCGGCCACGCUCCGACGAGACGAGCUCCCGCUUCCCGGCGCCGCCGCCGCCGCUCCGGCCGAAUUCGGCGGCUCUCUCUUCAUCUCUCCCCGCCGCUCCGGCGUCAAUCUCGUCGACUGCUGCUGCUCGUGCUUGACCUCCGCCGUGCUCGGCUUGCCCCGUGACGACGAAGGAGAGGGAGACGGAGACGGAGACGGAGACCUGAGUCCAAUGGCGGAGUGA
This 258-nucleotide long non-coding RNA is filed under the name Oryza sativa Indica Group (long-grained rice). RNAcentral's name for it is "lncRNA OsIR64_07g0022300". The record is from RNAcentral. Lineage: Eukaryota; Viridiplantae; Streptophyta; Magnoliopsida; Poales; Poaceae.